Molecule: unclassified non-coding RNA, 342 nt
Filed under: uncultured fungus
Lineage: Eukaryota; Fungi
Description: partial contains 5.8S ribosomal RNA and internal transcribed spacer 2
Rfam family: 5.8S ribosomal RNA (bases 1-134)
Source: RNAcentral
UGGUUCUGGCAUCGAUGAAGAACGCAGCGAAAUGCGAUAAGUAAUGCGAAUUGCAGAAUUUCCGUGAGUCAUCGAAUCUUUGAACGCACAUUGCGCCCACUGGCAUUCCGGUGGGCAUGCCUGUUCGAGCGUCAUUAUCCUCUCUCCACACCCCUCGGGUGGGACGUUGGACCGCGUUGUGGCUCGCGCCGCAACUGGUCUCAAAGACAAUGACGGCGUCCGUGGGACCCUCUUCGCAACGAGUCUUUCGGGGCACGCGGGGAGUUGCAAGGUCUGCGGGCACGGUCUGACACCUUUUAUUUUAUCAAGGUUGACCUCGGAUCAGGUAGGAAUACCCGCUGA